GCUAGUAAUGGCAGGUCAGCAUACUGCCGUGAAUACGUUCCCGGGCCUUGUACACACCGCCCGUCACACCAUGAGAGUUGGGAAUACCCGAAGCCUGUGAGCUAACUAAUAGAGGCAGCAGUCGAAGGUAGAAUCAAUGAUUGGGGUGAAGUCGUAACAAGGUAGC
RNAcentral lists this ribosomal RNA (166 nucleotides) under uncultured bacterium. Its description in RNAcentral is "partial 16S ribosomal RNA". It matches the Rfam family "Bacterial small subunit ribosomal RNA", at positions 1334 to 1500 of the family's 1533-position model. The record is from RNAcentral.